CAUUAGCACUCGAAAGAAAGAAUCGGGCACAAAGCAAAACACCAGAUAGCCUGCGGAUCGGCGAGAAAAACAAAAAGUAGUAAGCGAAUGGUGACGUUAAUUCGCAAUGGAAUGGCAGCUGAAAUGCGAAAAAUUGCAAUCUCCCCGGAGUGCGCAAGUACAUGGUACCAUAGAUUACCCCAAAGAGAUAUACUAUACACAUCUCUGGGAGAGUCGACAGCUGUGGGGAGAUCGAGAAUACUAAUCACAUGUUAAUUGAUAACGACGACCACAACAAACUGCCAGUUAGUCAGGUGUAUCGCAACACUCCGACUCUGACGUAUAUUAUACAAUACCCGAUUGAGUGAUAGAAUACCAGGCAGCGCGAUAAAGUAAGUCACAUGACCUCGGGCCUCUCAGGAGGUGCGAUCCGGAGUGGUCUGGAUAUAGAGAAAGAUCCAACAUAUACCUCUCUUGGCAAGGGUAACUAUAGGGCAAC
Molecule: non-coding RNA, 478 nt
Organism: Drosophila suzukii
Lineage: Eukaryota; Metazoa; Arthropoda; Insecta; Diptera; Drosophilidae
Source: RefSeq, a predicted model, not a curated record